Molecule: ribosomal RNA, 413 nt
Filed under: uncultured microorganism
Description: bacterial SSU rRNA
Rfam family: Archaeal small subunit ribosomal RNA
Source: RNAcentral
GCACCAGGCGCGAAAAACUUCACAAUGUGCGAAAGCACGAUGAGGGAAUCCCAAGUGCUUGCACGUAAGUGUAAGCUGUUUCUCUGUCUAAAACGCAGAGAGAGUAAGGGCUGGGUAAGACGGGUGCCAGCCGCCGCGGUAAUACCUGCAGCUCGAGUGGUGACCGUUAUUAUUGGGCCUAAAACGUCCGUAGCCGGUUUAAUAAAUGCCUGGGUAAAUCGGACCGCUUAACGGUUCGAAUUCCGGGUAGACUGUUAAACUUGAGACCGGGAGAAGUUAGAGGUACUCCUGGGGUAGAGGUGAAAUUCUGUAAUCCUAGGGGGACCACCAGUGGCGAAGGCGCCUAACUAGAACGGGUCUGACGGUGAGGGACGAAGCCCUGGGGCGCAAACGGGAUUAGAUACCCGUGUAGU